This is a long non-coding RNA of Orussus abietinus, 834 nucleotides long. RefSeq lists it as uncharacterized. The transcript is spliced from 3 exons. The record is from RefSeq and is a predicted model, not a curated record. Lineage: Eukaryota; Metazoa; Arthropoda; Insecta; Hymenoptera; Orussidae.
ACCUCGCUCCGUCUCGCUCCCCGGACCGGCCCGGCUCGUUCGACCGGCGUCUAAUCGCGCCACUUUUGGCUGCCAUCUUGAAACCUAACCUCGCCAUCUCCCGGAGAGCCUUAUCGCGAGCGAGUCGCACGAAUUUCUGCCCCCUUUUUCUAUCGCCCCCGAGAUAUCGCCCUCUUUAUCUGCCUCUUUCCCUCCCCCGGGGUUACUCCGAGGUGUUGCGUUACGAUAAACGCGAAAAUUAUUAGAUCCGCCGUUUGCGGUUCCGGGGUGCCCUCGCGUUUUAACGAAGGAAGAAACCGAUGGAACUUGCGGAAUGGAGAUAAGUAUCUUUGUAUAUUACUUCUUUUACCGUUUCUGUGAAAAUAGUGGGUAUAUAUGUGAAAAUGGAUUUGUACAUUGAACCGAGUAUUUUUAUCCCAUAUUUUGUAGCCGUUGGUGUUUCUUUUUAGGUUUCUGCUGCUAUGUAAGGCGUUUUGAAAUAGCUUGGAUUCCUGGGUGGCGGCAGAUGUAGCCGGGCACGAGUGCGGACUUUUUCAAUGAACGUUCUGCAGUUCUUAGCCUUGCAAUUCCGAGGUCGACCUCUACCGGGUUGUCGCGUAGUCUCUCGGGUGCGACGAUUUCGGCAAGACCGCAGAACCAGCGCUCGCUCUUUCGACCGGCAACCUUCGUCCAGGACGCAUCGCGAAGGAGGACUUCACGAUUCAAGGACCCAGAGAUUAAACAAUAAUCGAGACGACGUUUGUUACCAACCAUAGCCGACUGAACACCAAACCUAACAGUUACGUUACUUAAAACUAACAAAUAACAUAACGUUUGUUACAAUAUAAUAACCUA